Papaver somniferum (opium poppy) is the source of this 402-nucleotide long non-coding RNA. RefSeq lists it as uncharacterized. NCBI's taxonomy places the organism in Eukaryota, Viridiplantae, Streptophyta, Magnoliopsida, Ranunculales, Papaveraceae. The record is from RefSeq and is a predicted model, not a curated record. The transcript has 2 exons.
ACGUGAUAGAUCCAUGGCAGUAGGUUGCUUCGAUGAUUGCUAGAACAUCUACCGAAAGAACUUGAUGACAAGAUGAAAAAUGAAAAGCCAAAUGGGUUUAGGUUGCAGGGUCAGCAUACUGAGUUGUAUUACACAUGUAAUACAACGACCUAACAGGAACCAGUACUACAAAAACAAGAAGCGUUGAAUGAACUUCAUCAAAGGUCACAAGAAUGUCAAAUGUUCCGAGUAUAUUGAUAGAUGUCCCAAGUCUUACGUUACCAAGUGAUGCCAUUGAUCCUUAUCAGAAAAAUAAGAUACUUACUUCCCUGUAGUCGAGUAAGUAAACUCUUUAGCUUCAAACAAAUAAAUGUGCAUCCCAAGAAAAUUACAAUUAAAAGUAUAUGAACCAUUUUUUUGGGG